AUGUUCAUUUGGAACCUGGUGUUCACUUCUGACGUGGAUACCAGGAUCCUGGUAGACAUCAGGUCCCAAGAAGACACUAGAACCCAGGAGUACAUUAGGCUACAGAUUAAUACCAAGGCACCAGAUGAAUACAAGGCCAACUUGUGGUCAUCAGGCCUGAGAAGUGUCCUUGGGCCCCAGAUGGAUAUCAGGCCCCAGGUGAACAUCCAGCACCCAGAAGAACAUCAAGCUUCAGUGGACAUCAGACCCAAAGUGGACACCCAGUCUGCAGGUGGACAAUCAGGCCCCAGGCACAUAUCAGGCCUUAAGUGGACACCCAGGCCCCAGGUUGAUAUCCAGCUCCCAGGUGAUCACCAGGCCCCAGGAAGACACCAGGCCUUAGGUGAACAACACGAUGCAGUAGGUCAUCAGGCCACAGCUAGAUACAAGUCCCUGGUGAAUAUAAGGCCCCAGUGGGACAUAGAUCUAAGGACCCAGGUGAACAUACAGACCCAAGGUGGAAUUCACCCUGAGGGGAACAUUCGGCCCCACGUGCACAUCAGGCCCCAGUGGAAAGUGAGUGAUAUUGAUGACCUUUCCCCUUUCUCAGCUCCUGCUUCAGGUGCAGAAAUACAGCUAUUUCCAGUGCCAGCUGUUGAGCCAGUGCCAGCACCAGGGAAAGGGCCCCUCCAGGGACAGUGCUGGAGCUAGAGGCAGCUCCAGAGCCCUCCUGCCCCUGCCAUGGGACUGCCCAGAACCACCCCAGUGAGGAGCUGCCUGACUUCAUGGCACCUGCUGUAGAUCCACCAGCCUCAGCUCUUGAGCUGAAAGUGUGGCUGGAGCUAGAGGUGACAGAGAAGGUGUGACCAGCACAGCCCCAGCCAACAGCUCCUGCACUGCCCCCAGUCCUGGACACAGUGGAAACCAUGGAGUCAGAGACCAGGGUGUGCAACCUGGGCUCCUCUGCUUCCCUGGACAGGGACUUCUCUCAUUCAGCAGAGCAGCAGCCCAGCUGCUGAAGAGCCUGCUGCUACUGCUGCUGGGGGUGUUUGCCUGCCUGCAGGAGGCGCUGGAGAGCAGGAAAAGGAGCCUGUGAGCAGGGGUUCCAGCAGGUCCUCCUGUUCCCAGAGGUGGCCUCCUCCUCCAGGCAUGGAGGUUUGCCCUCAGCUGGGCAUCUGGGUCGUUUGCCUAUAAUGUGCUGCCCAGGAUGGGCUCUUCUUGACAGGAGGACAGGGGGUGAGGAGGCCAGGGAGCCUCUCCAAAGGAAGCUUUUAAACUCAGCAGCUACACCCCAGAAUCUCCAUGCCUCCACCUGCCCAAGGAUUUAUCCACAGCGCAACUAUGAAGUUUGAGUUUCUACAAUAACACUGAAAUAAAGUUUGACUUUUUGAAACUUC
This is an RNA transcript of Rhinopithecus roxellana (golden snub-nosed monkey), 1376 nucleotides long. RefSeq lists it as uncharacterized. The record is from RefSeq and is a predicted model, not a curated record. Lineage: Eukaryota; Metazoa; Chordata; Mammalia; Primates; Cercopithecidae. The transcript has 4 exons.